RNAcentral lists this ribosomal RNA (273 nucleotides) under uncultured bacterium. RNAcentral describes it as "partial 16S ribosomal RNA". It matches the Rfam family "Bacterial small subunit ribosomal RNA", at positions 523 to 796 of the family's 1533-position model. The record is from RNAcentral.
AUACGUAGGGGGCGAGCGUUAUCCGGAUUUACUGGGCGUAAAGCGCGCGUAGGCGGUAUUUUAAGUCAGAUGUUAAAGGCUGCGGCUCAACCGCAGUUCGCAUUUGAAACUGAAGUACUAGAGAUCAGGAGAGGAAAGCGGAACUCAUAGUGUAGCGGUGAAAUGCGUAGAUAUUAUGAGGAACACCAGUUGCGAAGGCGGCUUUCUGGACUGAAUCUGACGCUGAGGCGCGAAAGCGUGGGGAGCAAACCGGAUUAGAAACCCCAGUAGUCC